RNAcentral lists this ribosomal RNA (323 nucleotides) under uncultured eukaryote. RNAcentral's name for it is "partial 18S ribosomal RNA". It matches the Rfam family "Eukaryotic small subunit ribosomal RNA", at positions 1470 to 1796 of the family's 1831-position model. The record is from RNAcentral.
CCCUUAGAUGUUCUGGGCUGCACGCGUGCUACACUGAUAUUGCCAAUAUGUCAUUCUUAUCCGAAAUGGAUUGGGUAAUCAAGUAAUGAAAUUUCAUGCUUGGAAUCGGUAAUUACAAUUUUAUCGUGAACGAGGAAUUCCUAGUAAGCACUAGUCAUCAGCUAAUGUUGAUUAUGUCCCUGCCCUUUGUACACACCGCCCGUCGCUACUACUGAUUGGGUGUUCAAGUGAGAUGCUUAGACCCUUGUUGCAUGGUUCAUUAUUGUGCUCCGAAAGGAAAAAGUUUCAAGCUUGAGUGUCUAGAGGAAGUAAAAGUCGUAACA